Molecule: microRNA precursor, 98 nt
Filed under: Loxodonta africana (African savanna elephant)
Lineage: Eukaryota; Metazoa; Chordata; Mammalia; Proboscidea; Elephantidae
Description: mir-544 microRNA precursor family
Rfam family: mir-544 microRNA precursor family
Source: Rfam by way of RNAcentral
AUCACUGGGGGAUCUUGUUAAAAUGUAGAGUCUGAUUCAGUGGCUCUGGGGUGGGGCCUGAGAUUUUGCAUUUUUAACAAGCUCCCAAGUGAUACCUA